UCAGAAGGCUGGAGGAUUACGCGAUGCGCUUUGAUGUCGUGAGGAAAGUCCGGGCUUUAUGGGAAAAAAGGUGCUGGAUAACGUCCAGCCAGGGUGACCUGAGGGAAAGUGCCACAGAAAGCAAACCGCCCUUUCAAAGGGUAAGGGUGAAAGGGUGCGGUAAGAGCGCACCGCGCACCUCGCGAGAGGUGUGGCAGGGUAAACCCCACCUAAAGCAAGGCUAUGUAGGCAUCUUCGUCAUGGGCGCUUGCGUUCAUGACCAGUGCUUUUCCACACUGCGCAAGAUGCGGGUCAGCUGCACAAGGCGUUUGGUAACAGACGUCUCAGAUAAAUGAUCCUCGCUCUUUCAUAAAGAGUACAGAACCCGGCUUAUAGGCCUUCUGACAAC
Molecule: RNase P RNA, 388 nt
Filed under: bacterium NHP-B
Lineage: Bacteria
Description: Bacterial RNase P class A
Rfam family: Bacterial RNase P class A
About the family: Ribonuclease P (RNase P) is a ubiquitous endoribonuclease, found in archaea, bacteria and eukarya as well as chloroplasts and mitochondria. Its best characterised activity is the generation of mature 5'-ends of tRNAs by cleaving the 5'-leader elements of precursor-tRNAs. Cellular RNase Ps are ribonucleoproteins.
Source: Rfam by way of RNAcentral